Long non-coding RNA from Dendronephthya gigantea, 887 nucleotides. RefSeq lists it as uncharacterized. The transcript has 4 exons. Lineage: Eukaryota; Metazoa; Cnidaria; Anthozoa; Malacalcyonacea; Nephtheidae. The record is from RefSeq and is a predicted model, not a curated record.
CGGAAAACGAUCUUUUGUCUCUUGCACAUUUGCACACCACACAUCUCGUCAAUAUUUGAGAAAUAUGUUAUCUACUAUGAGCUUUAACACGUUAUUUGUCUGCUGUUGAAUGUCAAUAACGAAAGCGAAAGAAAGGCGUGAGAAAAGUGACAAAAAGCGGUAUAUUUUUUUCAUUCCGAUUGCAGAUGAACUGACUCAAGCUCAGAUCCAAUCUCUGAUGACUACAAUUUUAAUAAUGCUUCAAUUACUCGGUGCAUUUUCAUGUUUUAAAGUGUGGGCUUGAUGUUGGAUGACUUGGAUCUACAGGCUUUGGCCAAAUGCCCCACCUUUCCACAUUUGAAACAUUUUCUUUCUACAAAACAAGGAGAUUUAGUGACAUCAAAUAUAGUGGAUAAUGGUGAAUGAAGAUAAAUAAACUGGAAAGAAGAACAUACAUUUGCGACACUCUCUCGCUUUGUGGCCUUUAAGGCCACAAUUAUAACAACUUCCUAAACGAGAAGGGUAUUAAUAUUAUGAAAUAUUAAAGUUAUGUUUGGUGCUUUAGGAAUCCACAAAUGAAAACAACCUGAUCAUAUAGCAAAAUGUUAAUACCUUUAAAAUCAUUUCUUAUCUUCUUGUCUUAUAUAAAGGAGAAAAGAUAGCUGUUCUAUAUGUCAAGUCAUUUUUUAUAGCAAUGUAUUAAACGAAAAGAAAAGGCAUACCUUCAGUGCAUUGAAAUGCUUUGUGACCUUUUAGGCCGCAAUGAUGACAUUUCCCUAAAUGAAUAAAAGUUGUUUAAAACAUUUAGUUGGUAUAUGUAUAGCUGGCCAUGUUUGCCAGUUUAAUCAAGUCAUCUUCAGUAUAGUAUAUAAAAAGCAAUGACUAUGUUAAAAUAAAAAAAAAAAUUA